Thamnophis elegans (Western terrestrial garter snake) is the source of this 5033-nucleotide long non-coding RNA. RefSeq lists it as uncharacterized. Lineage: Eukaryota; Metazoa; Chordata; Lepidosauria; Squamata; Natricidae. The record is from RefSeq and is a predicted model, not a curated record. The transcript is spliced from 3 exons.
CAGCGACCCAGGCCACCAAACCACUACUGGUUCAGCCAAACCAGUAGGAACCUACCACUAUUCUUCCAAAAAGGAUUAUACAUCAGGAAUGAUAUACAUUUAUUUCUGAAUACAUUUCAAAUGUUGGCAACUCCAGUUAAAAAGAUUGUGUCUAGAAGGAUAUGCACGUGGGAUACAGUAUCAGAGAACAUAAAUUUAAGGGCUGGGUUCUUCCCAACACUCAGCCAUAAUAUAGUUGUUGCAGUUUGGCCUAAUGUGUUAAGUGAUCCCAAUCAUUGUGGCUUGACAAAUAUGGCUUGUGGCCUAGUAAAUGAACCCAAUUGUAAUUUAUUCAAUAAUCCAUGGUUAAGCAAGCUGUAGCUUAGCGAAUAUGAACCACAUCAUAAUCUCAACCAGCUCAAAAUUGCUUUAGAUAACAAAGGAAAAUGAUUUAAAAAAUUGAGUUCACAGACUUUAAGUUAGUUCUACAUUGACCCAAACAGAUUAGACCUAGUUAAUAUUAUCAAGACUGAGAAACUCACAGUGAUACAAGGAGAAAGCAGUGCGCUGGUUCUAAUAGUUCACAUAAUCUGUUUAUCAAUAGUUUAACUAUGGUAUUUGUGUAAGUCAUAUCUGCCUGAAUUUACAAAUAUACUAAGCCAUAUACCAAGUUUUAUACAUCAAAAUGGCUAGAUUCAUAGAACGUGCGAAGCUAAAAAUCAAACUCUUUUUUUAAAAUAGUAACUCGUCUGACUCUCCUGGGUGGCUAGAAUUAGAGCAGAAAGCAUUAAAAAUGCUCUUAAAUUAUCUUGGUUACAUUUUAAUUUAUUUUCGUGGCAGCAACACUGUUGUCAGAUAAGUGAUGAGGUUGUAGGGGUAGGAAUAUUUUUUUGUUAUUUGGACAUCUUGGAGAUAGAGUGGUAGAAGAAUUAUUUUCUUUUGACCAUUUACCCAGCUGAGAUUUAGUAUCCUGUCCUGCUAAACUCUUCCCACACAGGCAUGGAAAGCACUCUGCAUUUGCCAGACGAGCUAUUGGGAUGAUUAUGGAAUCCUUUCCCCUGCCCAAAUUUAUGGUGCCCCCAUGAAAAGUUUACACUUAGUUGUAUUUAUAAUGGCUUAAAGGCUCUGUAAAACCUGGACAUUGACUCUGCUCUGUUAAGAUCCUCUAGCUUCAUUACACAAAAUGAGGAUGGAUGCUCUAAUGUUAGAGAACAGAUGACAGGAAGGGAGCUUGUGGGAUCUUCUGUGUUAUCAUUAAACUUGUCAAGCAAUCAAAGAGUUAUUAGUAGCUUAAUGGGAUUUUAAAACUGUUGAUUAAGUAACUAAUAAAACUAAAUAGAUCUGUAUAUUACCAAAAGUCUGAUACCACUGCCUUCUUGAGUUGGUGAAAAGAAGAGUAAAUUAACUUGCAGCGGAAUAAACAAAGCUACCACUUGCUGUUACAACUAUUAUACUUAACAUAUUCUUUUACAUUGCUUAUUAGAUUAAUACACCAGAAGAAACAUAGAUCUUAAGACAUACACAAACAUUUACUGAAUUAAUUGAUAAGACAUGCUGAUUCUUAAGCCCUACUGUAGAGAAAUAUGGAGGUGUAAUGAACGGAUGCAUACUUAUUAAUACAUACCCGUAAUUAUUUUUAAUCAGAGAUGGGAACUUGUUUACUUUCCUGUUAUUAUGCUGAAAAGGGCUAUUGAUAUUCUACUCUGCUAAGAAUGCUGAGAGAGAGGGAGGGAGGGGGAGAGAAAGAGAGGGAGGGAGGGAAGGGGAGAGAGAGAGGGAGAAAGAGGGAGAGAGACAGGCUCAAAGUCACCCAGUUCAUGCUUAAGACAGGAUUAAAACUCAUGGAUCCUGGCUUCUAAUCCAACACCUUUAUCCAUCACGGGUAGUCCUCCCUUAACAACCACAAUUGGGACCAGCAACUUCAUCACUCGGCACUGCACUCGCUAGGCAUAAAAUUAAAUGUCCACAAUGAACUUAUGUCACUUUCAUUCAAUCAUGAAGCAAGUCACUGUGAUUGUUAAGCAAGACAUCACAUGACCACAACUUGCAAUUUGACUUCAACAUUCUGCAUUAACGCAAGCCAGUUGGGAACCAUGGAAAUGAUGACCACAUGAGCAUGGGAAGCUACAAUCAUCAUAAAUGAGAAGAGUAGUUGCAAAGCUGGGGGCGGGAUUUGAUUUCCUUUGUUGUAACUUUGAAUGGUUGCUAAACAAGACAAUGGGAAAGCAAGGACGAUCUACGCACCAAAUUAGCUCUUCCAAAAAGGAUGGGUAGAUGGCAAAAAAAUGUCAGUGAUCACUAGAUAGCAGCAAAGUGUUACAGUAAAGCUUUCUAUCUCUCUUUGCUGCCAUCUAGUGGUUGUCCAACAUGCCUGUGCUAUCCAAUACCUUUGAUUACAUCCAGUAACAGGUCAAUUGACUUCACUUCCAAGAUAAUGCCUCUCCAAACAAUACAGAUUCUUCAUACCCUGAAGACACAAUGUGCUGCUGUCGGCUUAACAUAAGAAAAUCAUACUUUAAAGCUCAUCCCGCUCCAUUCUGGUAGCUUCCCAGCUUUGACACAACAAUUUCUCUACCAACCUUCUUUAUUAGGAUUCAGCUUCUUGAGUUUCUUUCAGAUCUGCCCACAACAUCUAUGCCCAAUUUUCAAAAAUGGCUCCUCUGACAAGUUCUAAAAAGGUAGAGAAGACAGCAAGGCCCCACCUUUUAGUUGAAGAACACGCGCCGUGUCCUUUUAGCACCAUUUGAAAAUUACUACACUGCUGCUAUUCUAUUUGAGAAAAUCAAGAGACAUUUUUGCCCUUUUCUGCUUUACAAGAACUCUGAAAUGUAUGUUUUUCUUUAGAUGCAGCAGCCCUGCUUGUACUCAUUGUGAAGUUCAGAAAAUAAUAAGGGUGCGUAUGCGUUUAUUUGCCAGUUUCUUCACACUUGUCAGUUUCUAUCAUGUUCCAGCUCUCUCUUUCAAACAAGAUACUUGUUUUCUGAGCAGCUAGUCAAAUUAAGUCUGACAGGAUCCAGCAAGUUGCAUAAUUAUGGCAAGUCUGCUUCCCUCUAUUCUUAACUGUUUCUCCUCUAGUUUAUUACCAUGUGAUUUCUUUGCCACAUUAUUGACACUUGGGAGAUGCCCAGAUGAAACUUGGGAAGGACAGACCAACCAGUCUUUUCCAUUCCUGCCACAGAGCUUAACUGACAGGUGUUUUCCCCAUUUAUGAGGGCAUGCUGAAAAGGGAUAGCAACAAAGCCAGAAGAGAAAACAAAUCACUUUACCUAUAAGGAAUAGUGCACCUAACAAAUCAGGGCAAUGCAGUGACUUGCAGCAGAUACAACAGAGAAAGCAGAAAGAUUGGCACUGGGACAGUCAAAAUUAAAGUGUCAGAAUGGUUCCAUAACUGACUCAAGGAUAGGCAUUGAACUGAGUACUGAGGAAAGGCCCUGAAUAUCUUAGAUAAAUCAAAUUAAUACAUCAACCCCUAUUGAACACAAUACGUCAACACUAUUGAUUUGAUAGAGGGUACAAGUAAACCUUUCAGGGUUACACAAGAACCUAUACAGCUUUUGCCGUCUAUCUGGGUUUCUUUGAAUGUACAUACAGUCUUUCUAGUCCUCCAGAGAUAAAUAUCUCUAUAGUUAAAAUGUAUUAAAUGGAUUAAGUGAACUUUUGUAGUGCUGAAUUUUAGUGAUUUCACAAUCUACAGUAGCUCCAGGUAGUUCUGCAUAGCAGUCAAAUCACAAAUGUUAGGUGGGCCUAGAUCAGAGGUCCCCAAACUCUUCAGUGCAUAGAGCCUAACCCUUCAUGAAGUUUCAGAUUGUUCUUUGACCCUCAAACAUUUCUUACAUGAAAAUAAUUUAAUAAAUAUUUGUUUAACUAAUAGUACUGUGAAUAACAAUGAUGACAAUGAAUAGCUACAUCAACCCUUGGUGGUUGGUACUGAUCACUUUGGAGUAUCCUGCCCUAAAUUAAUGUAUCUAGACAACAAGCAGGGACAAUCCAACAUCAACUCUGAAAAAAUAUCAUCUUAAACUAGUAUUCUGCCAUUUCCAAAGAAUAAGACUCCUUCCUGAGUUUAUCUGGAUGGUAUAGAUACUUUUGGGGGAAAUAUUAGCAUUCUAACUGCUCACCUACUGUGAUCAAACUCUCAACUAAAUAAGGUCCGAUCUACAAAUGCUACCACUUCAGUUUGCAGGCCGAAUGACCAUAUAAUAUAUUUUGUCCUGCUGCAAACCAGCUAACACCAAGAAAUAACCAAAUUUCAGAGCUAAACAAAAUCACGUCUAGCAAUUCUCAGAGAAGAAAGCCUAGCUAUUGGUUAGGCACUGCAGAAACUCCAGCCAGUUGAGGAAACCCUAUACAAGAUGCAAAGAAAUGUGAUCUUCUGAUGCUGUAUCACAUAGAUUCACAUUAUUUUUGGCAUAGAAGUGGUUUUUAAAAAGUGUCAUUUCCCUUUUUAGAAUUUCCAAUGGCUCUUUACUAUAUAGGGUCAAUAUUAUUUGGGUCAAUGCUUGUCAGCACGUACCUGAAGUUGUAAAGAAAUAUUCUGCAGGAAAUAUGAUUAACCACAGGAACAUCUGGGGAAAAAGGGUGCUUAUAAAAAGACAAGAGGACAUAUCACGCACACAAAGUCCUGCAUGGCGCAUGAAAACCAGGUGUGGCUUAAAUUGCACUUCCACAGAGGCCCCUGAACACAUAAGUUGUUGUUAUUCUCCUUCCUGUCCCAAAUUUACCUGCCACUUGCCACCACUUAUUUUAAAACCACAAAUUACAAUCUUGUUCCAGGUAUUGUUGUGGCCCAACUGCAGCCGGCUGGUGGAAUCUGACAGCGAUGAACACUAUGGGACUGCCCUAGAGGCUGAGGAAGACUCUGGGGGGUGUUUGGAGGCAGAGCAGGGACAGAGCAGAGGCCUGUUGGCCACCAGGUGGUGUCUGAGUCAGGGAACAGUGGAGAAGAACAGAGGGAGGCAGUCCCUGACGUACGUACGCGUAGGGCUGCAAGGAGGACGGAGCAGCUUUGGAAAAAGGGUUACAGAAGGAAAUAGGAACAAGUGGCUACUGAUUGG